GGCAUUCCUAUUCUUUUCAAGAUCAAUAAAGUUCAAAAAAAUAAAGUCUUGUUUAUUCUUUCUAUUUUUACAAAGAAGAACAGUAAUCUUAAGCCGGAGGUUCCUUUUAUCAAAUUAUCUCAAUUAAAGUAAGAUGUAGGGAAGCUUUAAAGAAGGCGACCUACGAUCUCGUAUGAACAAUUAAGGUAUGUUAAGGCUAUACAUUCCUUCUUUUGGCAUGAUCCACGCAAUGAUACAUAAACGUAAUGAUAUUCCAUAAGUGGUUCUACCCUUUAGUAGUUAAGGAUGUCUAUGUUAUUCAUUCACGUAAAGUUAUAUUCAAGCACGUCUAAGUAUGUUUCUGAGUCCCCAUAUGUCCUACUACCAUAUUGUUUGUUCAUGGGUCAUAUAACAUUCCAAAAAGAUUAUAUUGACUUACUUCAUUAUGCAUUGCAUUUAUUUAUACAUGUGCAUUUACCCAUGACUCAGACGAUGUUAUAUACACGUAUAUAUGUAUUUAUAUAUGUAUAUGGGAUAUGGAAAAAGGUUAUGGCGUCAUAUACGCAUCUCCACCUAAUCAGCUGGUAUACGUUGAUGAUGUUGCCCAUAGUGGCCGAAAUGAUAUGAUGGAAUGUCCUCAAAGGCUUAAUGAUGAUAUGUACAUAUAGGCCUAUGCAUUACAGGACAUUUAGACGCAUAUGCAUGACAUUAUAGAUAUUCAUGACUUACAUAUCUAUCCAAAUAUACAAGUUGAGUCAUUUACUCCAUAUUUCUUUAAUAUCCUUAAUUAAUGUUGACUUACUAUUAUGUUUUAGUUCUACCUUACAUACUCAGUACAUUGUUCGUACUGACGUCCUUUUGUUGGGGAUGCUGCAUUCAUGCCUGCAGGUAUAGAUAAUCAGUUUGACAAGCCCUCAUAGUAAACGAGGUUAGCAUUCAGUGAAGGAUCGGUAAGACUCCACCUCAUUUGGAGUGCAGCUGAGGCUACUACAUACUUAUGAGUCAGUCGGUACCCUGUCCCAUUUGAUGUUUAAUAAUCUUCGAGGCUUUGUAGACACAGGUUUAUUUUGUAUAGUAUGUUAGAGGCCUUGACGGCCCAUAUGUAUUCAUGUUUUAUGAACGAUGUUUCAUUGAUAGAACAUUUUCCCACUUACAAUUGUACAUUAUGAGUUGUGACCAUAUUGGUCCAUGAUAGUUACAAAGAAAAUAAUGAGUUAUAGAGUGGUUUGCUCGGGCAAGUACGGCACCGGGUGCCAGCCACGCCUCCCCGGGCUCGGGGCGUGACACUUGCACAUGAAUACACCUUAGCAUAUCACUUGUACUACUCUAGGAGUAUGAAAUUUGAUGUUCAUUGAUCAUGUAUAUGUAUUCUUGUAUAUAUUCUUUUUGUAUUAUAUGGAUUGGACUGGUAGCAUGUGACCACGUCGGGUAGAUUAUGAUAUUGAGCCUAUGACCACACCGGUGGAUUGUGAUAUUGAUCCUCUGACCACGCCAGGAAGAUUGUGAUAUUGGCACAUGAGUUGUCCGUGAAACACAUGAGUUGUCCGUGAAACACGUGAGUUGUCCGUGUGGAUCUGAGAUAUUGAUAUUAUUGGCCGGUGAGUUGUGCGUGUUGAUAUUAUUAGCAUUUGAGUUGUUAGUGCAACACGUGAGUUGUCUAUGCAGCGUGUGGAUAUGGAUCCAUCCCCCUAGGGUCACUCUCUCAUGUUCCUUCUUGUUGGUGUACACGCAGUUUGAGGAAAGCCAAUUAAUGAUUUGGUUUAGUUAUUGAGAUUCUGAUGAAAAGGUGGCCAGUGUUUGAUUUGGUUAUUGCAUUUCAUAUGUACUUGCAAUUUUCUUAGUUUUGUUUACCUGUUUUGUUUGCAUAUCUU
This 1850-nucleotide long non-coding RNA is filed under the name Nicotiana tabacum (common tobacco). RNAcentral describes it as "long non-coding RNA (NTAB_LNC015790)". Lineage: Eukaryota; Viridiplantae; Streptophyta; Magnoliopsida; Solanales; Solanaceae. The record is from RNAcentral.